GGGAGCUUAGCUCAGUUGGUUCAGAGCAUCUGCCUUACAAGCAGAGGGUCAUAGGUUCGAGCCCUAUAGUUCCCA
Molecule: transfer RNA, 75 nt
Filed under: Bacteroidota bacterium
Lineage: Bacteria; Pseudomonadati; Bacteroidota
Description: Bacteroidetes bacterium (freshwater metagenome) tRNA-Val
Rfam family: tRNA
About the family: Transfer RNA (tRNA) molecules are approximately 80 nucleotides in length. Their secondary structure includes four short double-helical elements and three loops (D, anti-codon, and T loops).
Source: RNAcentral